RNAcentral lists this ribosomal RNA (468 nucleotides) under uncultured bacterium. RNAcentral describes it as "partial 16S ribosomal RNA". It matches the Rfam family "Bacterial small subunit ribosomal RNA", at positions 28 to 507 of the family's 1533-position model. The record is from RNAcentral.
GACGAACGCUGGCGGCGGGCUUAACACAUGCAAGUCGAACGGAAAGGCUCUGCUUUUGUGGGUUUCUCGAGUGGCGAACGGGUGCGCAACACAUUAGCAACCUUCCCUCGACUUUGAUAUAACUGCAUGAAACUGGGGCUAAUACCGGAUUGGAGCUCCUGCUGCAUGUUGGGCGUUGGAAUGUUUGCGCGGUUGGGGAUGUACUAGCGGCUUAUCAGACUGUUGGUGGGGUAGUCGCUUACCAAGGCUUCGACGGGUAGCCGGCCUGAGAGUGUGACCGGGAACAUUGGGAAUGAGAUACGGCCCAGAGUAGUACGGGAGGCAGCAGUAGGGAAGGAUGCACAAUGGGCGGAAGCAUGAUGCAGCAAGGCCGCGUGCGGGAUGACGGACUGCGGGUUGUAAACAGCUUAAGCCUGUGACGAAGCGUGAGUGACGGUAAUAGGUAAAGAAGCACCGGCUAACUACGUG